RNAcentral lists this ribosomal RNA (613 nucleotides) under Companilactobacillus paralimentarius. Its description in RNAcentral is "bacterial SSU rRNA". It matches the Rfam family "Bacterial small subunit ribosomal RNA", at positions 340 to 944 of the family's 1533-position model. The record is from RNAcentral. Lineage: Bacteria; Bacillati; Bacillota; Bacilli; Lactobacillales; Lactobacillaceae.
UACGGGAGGCAGCAGUAGGGAAUCUUCCACAAUGGACGAAAGUCUGAUGGAGCAAUGCCGCGUGAGUGAAGAAGGUUUUCGGAUCGUAAAACUCUGUUGUUGAAGAAGAACAUAUGUGAGAGUAACUGUUCACGUACUGACGGUAUUCAACCAGAAAGCCACGGCUAACUACGUGCCAGCAGCCGCGGUAAUACGUAGGUGGCAAGCGUUGUCCGGAUUUAUUGGGCGUAAAGAGAAUGUAGGCGGUUUAUUAAGUUUGAAGUGAAAGCCCUCGGCUCAACCGAGGAAGUGCUUCGAAAACUGGUAAACUUGAGUGCAGAAGAGGAAAGUGGAACUCCAUGUGUAGCGGUGGAAUGCGUAGAUAUAUGGAAGAACACCAGUGGCGAAGGCGGCUUUCUGGUCUGUAACUGACGCUGAGAUUCGAAAGCAUGGGUAGCAAACAGGAUUAGAUACCCUGGUAGUCCAUGCCGUAAACGAUGAGUGCUAAGUGUUGGAGGGUUUCCGCCCUUCAGUGCUGCAGCUAACGCAUUAAGCACUCCGCCUGGGGAGUACGAUCGCAAGAUUGAAACUCAAAGGAAUUGACGGGGGCCCGCACAAGCGGUGGAGCAUGUGG